CCUACGGGAGGCUGCAGUGAGGAAUAUUGGUCAAUGGACGAGAGUCUGAACCAGCCAAGUAGCGUGAAGGCUGACUGCUCUAUGGGUUGUAAAUUUCUUUUAUAUGGGAAUAAAAUGUUCCAUGUGUGGUAUUUUGUAUGUACCAUAUGAAUAAGGAUCGGCUAACUCCGUGCCAGCAGCCGCGGUAAUACGGAGGAUCCGAGCGUUAUCCGGAUUUAUUGGGUUUAAAGGGAGCGUAGGUGGAUUGUGAAGUGAGUUGUGAAAGUUUGCGGCUCAACCGUAAAAUUGCAGUUGAAACUGGCAGUCUUGAGUACAGUAGAGGUGAGCGGAAUUCGUGGUGUAGCGGUGAAAUGCUUAGAUAUCACGAAGAACUCCGAUUGCGAAGGCAGCUCACUGGACUGCAACUGACACUGAGGCUCGAAAGUGUGGGUAUCAAACAGGAUUAGAUACCCCUGUAGUC
RNAcentral lists this ribosomal RNA (460 nucleotides) under uncultured bacterium. Its description in RNAcentral is "partial 16S ribosomal RNA". It matches the Rfam family "Bacterial small subunit ribosomal RNA", at positions 338 to 795 of the family's 1533-position model. The record is from RNAcentral.